Molecule: ribosomal RNA, 500 nt
Filed under: uncultured bacterium
Lineage: Bacteria
Description: partial 16S ribosomal RNA
Rfam family: Bacterial small subunit ribosomal RNA
Source: RNAcentral
AUUGAACGCUGGCGGCAUGCCUUACACAUGCAAGUCGAACGGCAGCACGGGAGCAAUCCUGGUGGCGAGCGGCGAACGGGUGAGUAAAGUAUCGGAACGUGCCCAGUCGUGGGGGAUAACGUAGCGAAAGUUACGCUAAUACCGCAUACGAUCUAUGGAUGAAAGCGGGGGAUCGCAAGACCUCGCGCGAUUGGAGCGGCCGAUAUCAGAUUAGGUAGGUGGUGGGGUAAAGGCCCACCAAGCCGACGAUCGGUAGCUGGUCUAAGAGGACGGCCGGCCACACUGGGACUGGGACACGGCCCAGACUCCUACGGGAGGCAGCAGUGGGGAAUUUUGGACAAUGGGCGAAAGCCUGAUCCAGCCAUGCCGCGUGCAGGAUGAAGGCCUUCGGGUUGUAAACUGCUUUUGUACGGAACGAAAAGGUUUGGCCUAAUAAGCUGAGCUCAUGACGGUACCGUAAGAAUAAGCACCGGCUAACUACGUGCCAGCCGCCGCCGUAA